This 497-nucleotide ribosomal RNA is filed under the name uncultured bacterium. Its description in RNAcentral is "partial 16S ribosomal RNA". It matches the Rfam family "Bacterial small subunit ribosomal RNA", at positions 28 to 507 of the family's 1533-position model. The record is from RNAcentral.
GAUGAACGCUGGCGGCGUGCCUAAUACAUGCAAGUCGAGCGAACAGACGAGGAGCUUGCUCCUUUGACGUUAGCGGCGGACGGGUGAGUAACACGUGGAUAACCUACCUAUAAGACUGGGAUAACUUCGGGAAACCGUAGCUAAUACCGGGUAACAUGUUGAACCGCAUGGUUCAACAGUGAAAGAGGUUCUUGCUGUCCCUUAUGGAUGGAUCCGCGCCGCAUUAGCGAGUUGGUAAGGUAACGGCUUACCAAGGCAACGAUGCGUAGCCGACCUGAGAGGGUGAACGGCCACACUGGAACUGAGACACGGUACAGGCUCCUACGGGAGGCAGAAGUAGGGACUCUUCGGCAAUGGGCGAAAGCCUGAAGGAGGAGCGCCGCGUGGAUGAAGAAGGUCUUCGGAUCGUAAAACUCUGUUAGUAGGGAAGAAUAAAUGUGUAAGUAACUAUGCACGUCUUGACGGUACCUAAUCAGAAAGCCACGGCUAACUACGUG